GGUCGGUACAGAGGNUCGCGAGCUCGCGAGAGUAANCCAAUCUCAAAAAACCGAUCUCAGUUCGGAUAGAAGUCUGCAACUCGACUUCUUGAAGUCGGAAUCGCUAGUAAUCCCGGAUCAGCACGCCGGGGUGAAUACGUUCCCGGGCCUUGUACACACCGCCCGUCACACCAUGGGAGUCAGUUGCUCCAGAAGUGGCUUGCCUAACCGUAAGGAGGGCGGUCCCUAAGGAGUGGCUGGUAACUGGGGUGAAGUCGUAACAAGGUAACC
Molecule: ribosomal RNA, 270 nt
Filed under: unidentified soil organism R6-59
Description: partial 16S ribosomal RNA
Rfam family: Bacterial small subunit ribosomal RNA
Source: RNAcentral